Long non-coding RNA from Humulus lupulus (European hop), 185 nucleotides. RefSeq lists it as uncharacterized. The transcript is spliced from 3 exons. Lineage: Eukaryota; Viridiplantae; Streptophyta; Magnoliopsida; Rosales; Cannabaceae. The record is from RefSeq and is a predicted model, not a curated record.
CCGAAAUUAGAGAGAGAGAGGUGUGAAAGAGAGAGAAGGAGGAGAAGAAAGGAAGAAGAAGGAGGAGGUCUUAGGGUAUUCAAGGGUGAUUAUCACUUGGGUGUUGAUCAAGUUGUGUUCUUGAUUUUACAAUCAAGAGAGGGUCGUUGAGAAGUUGUGGUUUUACUAAGCUUGGACCUGAGGUA